Molecule: ribosomal RNA, 253 nt
Filed under: uncultured bacterium
Lineage: Bacteria
Description: partial 16S ribosomal RNA
Rfam family: Bacterial small subunit ribosomal RNA
Source: RNAcentral
UACGUAGGGGCCGAGCGUUGUCCGGAGUUAUUGGGCGUAAAGCGCGCGCAGGCGGCCUCGCGCGCCCGACGUGAAAGCCCCCGGCUUAACCGGGGAGGGUCGUUGGGGACGGCGGGGCUUGAGGGCGGGAGAGGUCGGUGGAAUUCCCGGUGCAGUGGUGAAAUGCGUAGAGAUCGGGAGGAACACCUGUGGCGAAGGCGGCCGACUGGGCCGACCCUGACGCUGAGGCGCGAAGGCGUGGGGAGCGAACGGG